RNAcentral lists this unclassified non-coding RNA (302 nucleotides) under Pseudocercospora sp. Its description in RNAcentral is "partial contains 5.8S ribosomal RNA, internal transcribed spacer 2, and large subunit ribosomal RNA". The stretch from base 1 to 52 matches the Rfam family "5.8S ribosomal RNA", at positions 103 to 154 of the family's 154-position model. RNAcentral also lists the same sequence under 1 other name. The record is from RNAcentral. Lineage: Eukaryota; Fungi; Ascomycota; Dothideomycetes; Mycosphaerellales; Mycosphaerellaceae.
AACGCACCUUGCGCUCCUUGGUAUUCCGAGGAGCAUGCCUGUUUGAGUGUCUUGAAGUCAUCAACCCCUCCCGUUUCGUGCGGAGAGGUGAGUUGGAGCUGGGGGCUUGCGGUCGAGAGGCCGCUCCCCUCAAAUGCUUCGGUUGGGCCUGUGGGUCGAACUCGGUUGGGCGUUGUAACAACCUCGCUCUCGUCUGAGAUGUUCCCCUGUCGUCGUGCCCCUCCACGACCGCCUAUCGAGCGGCGGUCAAAACAACUUUGAAAUCUGACCUCAAAUCAGGUAGGACUACCCGCUGAACUUAA